GAUGCUGGGGGAUGGGGUCUACGGUUAAAGAAAAGUCUGUCUUUGCUGGUAUCUCAGACCCAUAAGUCAGGACUCUGCGAUGGGCAGCUAGACAAGAGCUGUGUGACCCAGGAGAAGCUGCUGCAUCUCUGAGCCCCAGUUUCCUUGGACUGAGACAGGAGGCACAUCCGUCUUCUGAUUCUUUGUGCCUGACAGCAACAAUCCGGACAGAUGCUUUCUCAUUUGUCUUUGGGAGUCUGCUCUCAUCCCCCCAAUUUCUCUGCCAAGGGACUGCCGCCA
Molecule: long non-coding RNA, 279 nt
Organism: Meriones unguiculatus (Mongolian gerbil)
Lineage: Eukaryota; Metazoa; Chordata; Mammalia; Rodentia; Muridae
Exons: 3
Source: RefSeq, a predicted model, not a curated record